UUGAAAGGGAAACGAUUGAAGUCAGUCGUUCCUUCGGGUAAUCAGCCUUUUGGGUGUGAUUUUGUGGAGCGUGAGGAGUUAAACGCCUUCAUGCCUGCAUAUUCGUGCACUUUAGGUGUACUUGCCCGUAUGGUUGGUUAACAUCAAUUUUGGUGGUCAUAAAAUGACUGGAGGAAUGUAGCUUCGAUCUUGUAUUGAAGUGUUAUAGCCUUCGGUAGAUGUGAUGAUCGAGAUUGAGGAUUGCAACGGAUACCUUCGGGGCUACCUGUCUGGUCUCUGAUCGUUGCUCUGGUGCCGAAAGCUUGCUUACGGUUAUCAAAGUCGAUGGUCAAUAGGUUAGAACGGGUUAAAUUCGUUAAGGAUGUUGACGUA
Molecule: ribosomal RNA, 372 nt
Filed under: uncultured Glomeromycotina
Lineage: Eukaryota; Fungi; Glomeromycota
Description: LSU rRNA
Source: RNAcentral